RNAcentral lists this transfer RNA (69 nucleotides) under Ictidomys tridecemlineatus (thirteen-lined ground squirrel). Its description in RNAcentral is "Spermophilus tridecemlineatus (thirteen-lined ground squirrel) tRNA". It matches the Rfam family "tRNA". From Rfam's summary of the family: Transfer RNA (tRNA) molecules are approximately 80 nucleotides in length. Their secondary structure includes four short double-helical elements and three loops (D, anti-codon, and T loops). RNAcentral also lists the same sequence under 1 other name. The record is from Rfam by way of RNAcentral. Lineage: Eukaryota; Metazoa; Chordata; Mammalia; Rodentia; Sciuridae.
GGGGUUGUAGCUCAGUAAUAGAGCACUUGCCUCACAUGUGUGAGGCCCUGGGUUCAAUUCUCAGCACCA